This 305-nucleotide ribosomal RNA is filed under the name uncultured bacterium. Its description in RNAcentral is "bacterial SSU rRNA". It matches the Rfam family "Bacterial small subunit ribosomal RNA", at positions 335 to 633 of the family's 1533-position model. The record is from RNAcentral.
UACCUACGGGACGCAGCAGUAGGGAAUUUUCGUCAAUGGGCGCAAGCCUGAACGAGCAAUGCCGCGUGAACGAGGAAGGUCUUCGGAUCGUAAAGUUCUGUUGAAGGGGAAAAAGAGCGGAGAGAGGAAAUGCUUUCUGAUUGAUAUUACCCUUCGAGGAAGUCACGGCUAACUACGUGCCAGCAGCCGCGGUAAUACGUGGGGGGCAAGCGUUAUCCGGAAUUACUGGGUGUAAAGGGAGCGUAGACGGUGAUGUAAGUCUGGAGUGAAAGGCGGGGGCCCAACCCCCGGACUGCUCUGGAAAC